GAUGAACGCUGGCGGCGUGCCUAAUACAUGCAAGUCGAGCGAACAGACGAUGAUCUUGCUCCUCUGACGUUAGCGGCGCACGGGUGAGUAACACGUGUAUAACCUACCUAUCAUACUGGUAUAACUUCGGGAAUCCGGAGCUAAUACCGUAUAAUAUAUUGAUCCGCAUUGUUCAUUAGUGAAAUUCGGUUUUUCUGUCUCUUAUAGCUGUAUCUCCGCCGCAUUAGAUAGUUGUUAAGUUAACUGCUUACCAAGUCAACGAUGCGUAGCCGACCAGAGAGGGUGAUCGGCAACACUAGAGCGUAAACAGGGACAAGACUACUACGGUAGGGAGCAGAAGGGAACGUGAGGCAGUAGGCGAAAGCAUGACGGAGCAAGGCGGAGUGAGUGAUGAAGGUGUCCGGAUCGUAAAAAUCUGUUAUUAGGGAAGAACAAAUGUGGAAGGAAAUAUGCACGGAGUGACGGUAACUAAUAAGAAAGCAACGGCUAACUACGUG
RNAcentral lists this ribosomal RNA (497 nucleotides) under uncultured bacterium. RNAcentral describes it as "partial 16S ribosomal RNA". It matches the Rfam family "Bacterial small subunit ribosomal RNA", at positions 28 to 507 of the family's 1533-position model. The record is from RNAcentral.